GUGGGGAAUCUUGCGCAAUGGGCGAAAGCCUGACGCAGCAACGCCGCGUGGGGGAUGAAGGCUCUCGGGUUGUAAACCCCUUUCAGUAGGGACGAAACUGACGGUACCUACAGAAGAAGCCCCGGCCAACUACGUGCCAGCAGCCGCGGUAACACGUAGGGGGCAAGCGUUGUCCGGAUUUACUGGGCGUAAAGAGCUCGUAGGCGGUUCGGCAAGUCGGGUGUGACAACUCCAGGCUCAACCUGGAGAGGUCACUCGAUACUGCUGUGACUAGAGUCCGGUAGGGGAGCAUGGAAUUCCCGGUGUAGCGGUGAAAUGCGCAGAUAUCGGGAGGAACACCAGUGGCGAAGGCGGUGCUCUGGGCCGGAACUGACGCUGAGGAGCGAAAGCGUGGGUAGCAAACAGGAUUAGAAACCCGAGUAGUCC
RNAcentral lists this ribosomal RNA (426 nucleotides) under uncultured bacterium. Its description in RNAcentral is "bacterial SSU rRNA". It matches the Rfam family "Bacterial small subunit ribosomal RNA", at positions 354 to 796 of the family's 1533-position model. The record is from RNAcentral.